UUGGGACAUACUUAUGCUAAA
Molecule: microRNA, 21 nt
Filed under: Callithrix jacchus (white-tufted-ear marmoset)
Lineage: Eukaryota; Metazoa; Chordata; Mammalia; Primates; Cebidae
Also listed under: 4 other names
Description: cja-miR-1302
Source: miRBase by way of RNAcentral